GAUGAACGCUGGCUGCGUGCCUAAUACAUGCAAGUCGAGCGAACAGACGAGGAGCUUGCUCCUUUGACGUUAGCGGCGGACGGGUGAGUAACACGUGGGUAACCUACCUAUAAGACUGGGAUAACUUCGGGAAACCGGAGCUAAUACCGGAUAAUAUUUCGAACCGCAUGGUUCGAUAGUGAAAGAUGGCUUUGCUAUCACUUAUAGAUGGACCUGCGCCGUAUUAGCUAGUUGGUAAGGUAACGGCUUACCAAGGCAACGAUACGUAGCCGACCUGAGAGGGUGAUCGGCCACACUGGAACUGAGACACGGUCCAGACUCCUACGGGAGGCAGCAGUAGGGAAUCUUCCGCAAUGGGCGAAAGCCUGACGGAGCAACGCCGCGUGAGUGAUGAAGGUCUUCGGAUCGUAAAACUCUGUUAUUAGGGAAGAACAAACGUGUAAGUAACUGUGCACGUCUUGACGGUACCUAAUCAGAGAGCCACGGCUAACUACGUGCCAGCAGCCGCGGUAAUACGUAGGUGGCAAGCGUUAUCCGGAAUUAUUGGGCGUAAAGCGCGCGUAGGCGGUUUUUUAAGUCUGAUGUGAAAGCCCACGGCUCAACCGUGGAGGGUCAUUGGAAACUGGAAAACUUGAGUGCAGAAGAGGAAAGUGGAAUUCCAUGUGUAGCGGUGAAAUGCGCAGAGAUAUGGAGGAACACCAGUGGCGAAGGCGACUUUCUGGUCUGUAACUGACGCUGAUGUGCGAAAGCGUGGGGAUCAAACAGGAUUAGAUACCCUGGUAGUCCACGCCGUAAACGAUGAGUGCUAAGUGUUAGGGGGUUUCCUCCCCUUAGUGCUGCAGCUAACGCAUUAAGCACUCCGCCUGGGGAGUACGACCGCAAGGUUGAAACUCAAAGGAAUUGACGGGGACCCGCACAAGCGGUGGAGCAUGUGGUUUAAUUAGAAGCAACGCGAAGGAACCUUACCAAAUCUUGACAUCCUUUGACCCUUCUAGAGAUAGAAGUUUCCCCUUCGGGGGACAAAGUGACAGGUGGUGCAUGGUUGUCGUCAGCUCGUGUCGUGAGAUGUUGGGUUAAGUCCCGCAACGAGCGCAACCCUUAAGCUUAGUUGCCAUCAUUAAGUUGGGCACUCUAAGUUGACUGCCGGUGACAAACCGGAGGAAGGUGGGGAUGACGUCAAAUCAUCAUGCCCCUUAUGAUUUGGGCUACACACGUGCUACAAUGGACAAUACAAAGGGCAGCGAAACCGCGAGGUCAAGCAAAUCCCAUAAAGUUGUUCUCAGUUCGGAUUGUAGUCUGCAACUCGACUACAUGAAGCUGGAAUCGCUAGUAAUCGUAGAUCAGCAUGCUACGGUGAAUACGUUCCCGGGUCU
This 1373-nucleotide ribosomal RNA is filed under the name uncultured bacterium. Its description in RNAcentral is "bacterial SSU rRNA". It matches the Rfam family "Bacterial small subunit ribosomal RNA", at positions 28 to 1381 of the family's 1533-position model. The record is from RNAcentral.